UCUCGAUUCGUCUAGUGGUUAGGAUACCUGCUUGUCAUUCUUUGGCAGAGUUCGAUUCGCAGGUGGCCGGGGUUCAAUUCCCCGAUCGAGAG
Annulohypoxylon truncatum is the source of this 92-nucleotide non-coding RNA. Lineage: Eukaryota; Fungi; Ascomycota; Sordariomycetes; Xylariales; Hypoxylaceae. The record is from the annotation of a RefSeq genome assembly.